UACCGUGCUAAGCGGGGAGGUAGCGGUGCCCUGUACUUGCAAUCCGCUCCAGCAAGGCUGAAUUCCACUUUUGAGGAUUUGAAGUGUGAGGACUGCCUCGGGAGUUCCGGUGUUGAGACUGCGGUCCUAUGCAAUAGAACGUCAUGAAUCAUGUCAGGUCCGGAAGGAAGCAGCAUUAAGUGGCCCAUUCUAUGUGCCGUAGGGUUGCCGUGGUUGAGCUGGUCUCCCGAGUAACGCUUGUUCAUCAUAUUCGAUUAAGUGGUGCACGGUU
RNAcentral lists this signal recognition particle RNA (271 nucleotides) under Jeotgalicoccus saudimassiliensis. RNAcentral describes it as "Archaea_SRP". It matches the Rfam family "Bacterial large signal recognition particle RNA". Rfam says of the family: The signal recognition particle (SRP) is a universally conserved ribonucleoprotein involved in the co-translational targeting of proteins to membranes. Archaeal SRP consists of a 7S RNA and homologues of the eukaryotic SRP19 and SRP54 proteins. The record is from RNAcentral. Lineage: Bacteria; Bacillati; Bacillota; Bacilli; Caryophanales; Staphylococcaceae.